RNAcentral lists this ribosomal RNA (1552 nucleotides) under Enterobacter hormaechei. Its description in RNAcentral is "bacterial SSU rRNA". It matches the Rfam family "Bacterial small subunit ribosomal RNA". Lineage: Bacteria; Pseudomonadati; Pseudomonadota; Gammaproteobacteria; Enterobacterales; Enterobacteriaceae. The record is from RNAcentral.
AAAUUGAAGAGUUUGAUCAUGGCUCAGAUUGAACGCUGGCGGCAGGCCUAACACAUGCAAGUCGAACGGUAACAGGAAGCAGCUUGCUGCUUUGCUGACGAGUGGCGGACGGGUGAGUAAUGUCUGGGAAACUGCCUGAUGGAGGGGGAUAACUACUGGAAACGGUAGCUAAUACCGCAUAACGUCGCAAGACCAAAGAGGGGGACCUUAGGGCCUCUUGCCAUCGGAUGUGCCCAGAUGGGAUUAGCUAGUAGGUGGGGUAACGGCUCACCUAGGCGACGAUCCCUAGCUGGUCUGAGAGGAUGACCAGCCACACUGGAACUGAGACACGGUCCAGACUCCUACGGGAGGCAGCAGUGGGGAAUAUUGCACAAUGGGCGCAAGCCUGAUGCAGCCAUGCCGCGUGUAUGAAGAAGGCCUUCGGGUUGUAAAGUACUUUCAGCGGGGAGGAAGGCGAUAAGGUUAAUAACCUUGUCGAUUGACGUUACCCGCAGAAGAAGCACCGGCUAACUCCGUGCCAGCAGCCGCGGUAAUACGGAGGGUGCAAGCGUUAAUCGGAAUUACUGGGCGUAAAGCGCACGCAGGCGGUCUGUCAAGUCGGAUGUGAAAUCCCCGGGCUCAACCUGGGAACUGCAUUCGAAACUGGCAGGCUAGAGUCUUGUAGAGGGGGGUAGAAUUCCAGGUGUAGCGGUGAAAUGCGUAGAGAUCUGGAGGAAUACCGGUGGCGAAGGCGGCCCCCUGGACAAAGACUGACGCUCAGGUGCGAAAGCGUGGGGAGCAAACAGGAUUAGAUACCCUGGUAGUCCACGCCGUAAACGAUGUCGACUUGGAGGUUGUGCCCUUGAGGCGUGGCUUCCGGAGCUAACGCGUUAAGUCGACCGCCUGGGGAGUACGGCCGCAAGGUUAAAACUCAAAUGAAUUGACGGGGGCCCGCACAAGCGGUGGAGCAUGUGGUUUAAUUCGAUGCAACGCGAAGAACCUUACCUACUCUUGACAUCCAGAGAACUUUCCAGAGAUGGAUUGGUGCCUUCGGGAACUCUGAGACAGGUGCUGCAUGGCUGUCGUCAGCUCGUGUUGUGAAAUGUUGGGUUAAGUCCCGCAACGAGCGCAACCCUUAUCCUUUGUUGCCAGCGGUUAGGCCGGGAACUCAAAGGAGACUGCCAGUGAUAAACUGGAGGAAGGUGGGGAUGACGUCAAGUCAUCAUGGCCCUUACGAGUAGGGCUACACACGUGCUACAAUGGCGCAUACAAAGAGAAGCGACCUCGCGAGAGCAAGCGGACCUCAUAAAGUGCGUCGUAGUCCGGAUUGGAGUCUGCAACUCGACUCCAUGAAGUCGGAAUCGCUAGUAAUCGUGGAUCAGAAUGCCACGGUGAAUACGUUCCCGGGCCUUGUACACACCGCCCGUCACACCAUGGGAGUGGGUUGCAAAAGAAGUAGGUAGCUUAACCUUCGGGAGGGCGCUUACCACUUUGUGAUUCAUGACUGGGGUGAAGUCGUAACAAGGUAACCGUAGGGGAACCUGCGGUUGGAUCACCUCCUUACCUUAAAGAA